Homo sapiens (human) is the source of this 620-nucleotide long non-coding RNA. RefSeq lists it as uncharacterized. NCBI's taxonomy places the organism in Eukaryota, Metazoa, Chordata, Mammalia, Primates, Hominidae. The transcript has 5 exons. The record is from RefSeq and is a predicted model, not a curated record.
CAGGAGAUUUUCCAUGUCUACUCUGGUGCCAUUACUGGAAGAUCCUUCCAUUUUCUACAAGGGAUUUUUACCUAUAUUGUUGAGAAGUGGAAUCCCCUUUGGUAGCUCUGUACCUUCAGCUUCUCCCUCUGUGGUAUCCAUUCCCUGCCACAACUAUAGAAUCUGCAAUCUGAUAUCUGAGAGUGACCAAAAGAAGAGAAUAAAUGUCCAGCCUCCUUGUCACAAGGCAGGACAACAUUAUGUUGUUCCUUAGGCUCCAGAGCUCCCAUGAAUCUUGCUGAGGGAAAAAAUGACAUAACCACUAAAAAGAAUGACUGCUAAAGAUCAGGACAAGACUUUGACCAGUGGAAGUCAGGAACAGCAAAUAAACAUUUUCCUCAUCUCUUCCCACCAUACUAACUGUCCUGAGAUGCAAAAGUCCAUAAGGUCUCUCCUAAGACUGUCCCACAAAAUGUAGCAAUUAGUUAUUCUUGCUGUCAAGCAGUGCUCAGCUCAUAUUAUACCUUAUAUUUUCUCUUCCUCAUUCUCUGUAUCACUCAUCUUUUCUGUCAUUUCUAGUUCCCUGUAUUUUAUUCCACAAUAUAUUAGUAGCAAAUAAACUUUUGUGCUUUCUGAGAAAA